CAUCUUCCAGCACAGUGUUGGGUGGUCUAACCGGGAAGCUCCUAACACUGUCUGGUAAAGAUGGC
RNAcentral lists this microRNA precursor (65 nucleotides) under Echinops telfairi (small Madagascar hedgehog). RNAcentral's name for it is "Ete-Mir-8-P2b_pre stem-loop". It matches the Rfam family "mir-8/mir-141/mir-200 microRNA precursor family", at positions 10 to 68 of the family's 72-position model. From Rfam's summary of the family: The bounds of the precursors are predicted based on conservation and base pairing and are not generally known. The record is from RNAcentral. Lineage: Eukaryota; Metazoa; Chordata; Mammalia; Afrosoricida; Tenrecidae.